CUCAAAGGAAAAAGAGAGACAGAGAGAACCGGUGAGAGAGAGACGGACGUCUGGUCACGCUUCCGGCAACGGUUACUGAGAUCUCCGUCGAAUUACUGCCCGGCCGUCGUUCUGCGAUGGGCCUACAUGUAUGAUCGGAGACCUGGAGGCGGCAAAUCGGUUUCCGGCCAGUUGAAAACCACCGAUUGUGCCACAUGGGUGUUCUCCGGCCAGUCUAGCGACGCAAGGUAUAGAUUAUCGACAACGUUAUAGUUUGGGUUUUGUCCUCCUUAUUAACCAGCGGUUUCUGUGGUGAUAGAUUGAGUUUGAGUGUGAGGUGAUCAAGAUCGCUGAUAAAUGGUGUUGUUUCUGGUGUUGUUUAAACGGUUUUAACCACCUAUCCGGCUUCUGUGAUCUUGGAAGUUAUGAAUAGUUGAGAUUGAAUUGGAUCGACAGUCCGUCUCUCUGCAGGGUAUCUGCUGUAUUUAAGCUUCCUCAUGUCGGCUCAGCGGAAUCAAGCGAUAGCUCCAAGAAGGCCUACGACGAAUGAAAAAGCUGAAAAUAAACUUUUCUGAAAGUUGCGGAUGAUGAAGACUAGGCAACUGAAACCCACACAAAGUCGUCGACGUACAAAUCUUUAGGUAGCACACCUUUUGUACAACUUAUUUGCGUAACACUCUAGGUAUCAGUAUGCUAAGUUGUGAAGACCGUUAUACAGAAGAACAUUUUAUACAUCUUUGUUUUGUAUAUCCUUAAUAUAUAGGUCAGGCGAUGUGACUAUGGAAGGAUGAUGUAAUCAAACACUUAGGGCCUCCCGGCCGCAACGCGGCGGGGUUUUAAAUCUAGUUCAUUUUAAUUUAU
This 840-nucleotide long non-coding RNA is filed under the name Helianthus annuus (common sunflower). RNAcentral's name for it is "hypothetical non coding rna". The record is from RNAcentral. Lineage: Eukaryota; Viridiplantae; Streptophyta; Magnoliopsida; Asterales; Asteraceae.